This 24-nucleotide non-coding RNA is filed under the name Arabidopsis thaliana (thale cress). The record is from RNAcentral. Lineage: Eukaryota; Viridiplantae; Streptophyta; Magnoliopsida; Brassicales; Brassicaceae.
ACAUUAGCAACAUCAACGACCUUG